UGGAAAGGUCAGGCUCAAGGAAGUGGAAGCUCGGACAAAACGAUGGAAUCUUUGUUCAGUUGAAUCUCCGUCUAUUCGAAAUGUUUGGUUCAUUCCUAGCUCGAAAGAAAAGGGGCAAACCUUAUGCAGGGAUCCUCAAGCUCUAGAUAUCGGUGCACAUGAGAUUCUCCCUCGCAUCUUCAAGGAAGUAUCGAAGAGCUCGUAGUGCAUUGUUUUAUUGCAGUUUGAUUCUCUACUCUCUAUCCAGUUUUUGAUCAAUACUGAAGAAAAAAAAGGAGUUUCUUGUGUGUUUGUGCUACUCAGACAAACCACCCACCUGUGUUGUUUCUUGUUUAAGAGCUUUUUGUUUUAUGUCUUGAAGUGUGAAAAUCCAAUGUUAACGUCCAAUAUUCAUCAUUGACAUCAACACAACCGUAUGGUUUGUUAAGUUUUAGGUAGAAAUGCUUGAUUCUUGUGAAAGCUACCAUGAACAAUAUUUUUCACUAAUGGCCCUAUGUAGCCCAACAAAUUAAAUUAGUUAGCCCAGAUUA
Long non-coding RNA from Brassica napus (rape), 530 nucleotides. RefSeq lists it as uncharacterized. Lineage: Eukaryota; Viridiplantae; Streptophyta; Magnoliopsida; Brassicales; Brassicaceae. The record is from RefSeq and is a predicted model, not a curated record. The transcript has 2 exons.